Molecule: long non-coding RNA, 2396 nt
Organism: Octodon degus (degu)
Lineage: Eukaryota; Metazoa; Chordata; Mammalia; Rodentia; Octodontidae
Exons: 3
Source: RefSeq, a predicted model, not a curated record
CCUCCAGCUAGAAUCAGUGUGAACAAAAGCAAGCAGAGCAGCAGGAGCUCACGGCGAGUGGAAGGGCCACGUCCACUUCUGCUGUGUGGAUGGGGUCUGCAUGGGCUGGACUGCAGAAGCCCAGUGGAGCACCACGUGAGGCUUUGCCAACAAGUUAGCAGAAGGCAGCGGCCAGCCACAUAACCUCUUGGCUUCAGCUGCUUCAUUGGUAACAUCAAGAGCUCCUCAGCCUGAAACUGCAAGCUCACAGCUUUGGGGAUCUGAAGCAUAAGAAGCACUGAGAAGCCCAGAGCAAAGAGACACAGGCACCCCUGUCAGUCCUGGAAGUCUCUGAUCCCAGUCCUCCUCCCCAGGUGGGCACUAAGUACCUCGUCGUCUACCGCAUAAGCAAAGAGGAGCCGCAGUCACAGCCGCGUCCAAAGACUUCUCACCAGGACUGUCAGGAGGGCUUGGCAACAGCAGCUGACACUGGCAUUUUAGAAGAACUUAAGUUGCUUUGAGAAUAAAUCCCAUUUUUAAAGAAACUGUCUUUCCUUCUGGGAAUUAAAUUGCUUGACUAGAUUUCUCUUAAGUGAGUCAUAAAGAAGAGAAGCAGCGUUCACUUUGUCCUGCACUAGACACUUUCUGGGCAGGAGAGUUGUUGCCAGUAGAGGGUGGCACAGCUGGCAGAAGCGAGGGCUGGUACAAAGUUCAGGGCGGAGGCCGGGAGCCGGGUUUUUCUGAAGUACACAGACGCAUGAGAGAAAAUGAAUAUGAAAAUCCACAUGCUUCAAAAAUAAAACCACUGAAACGACUAUUUAAGAUUUAAGUGGGAAUAUUCUAAGUAAGAGAAAAUGUUUUAUGCAUCUACUUUUCAAGUUAGAAGCAGGAAACAGAAAACUAUUUAGAAUGAACAACAAUUAAAAAUAGACUCCAAUCUCGCUGCGUCCAAGUUGAUGCAGAAGGGAGGGGCAAGACGGGAGGAAACGAGGCAGGCGGCAGGGGAGUCCCAGGGAGAGCGGACGCGGGCUGCGAGCCUGAGCAGCGUGCGUGAAUCUCCACUUUUUUUCUGAAAUUCACACUGAACAGGCCUCUUCCGCACUGCAACACAGCCUGAAAACUUUCCUUUUCACACUGCAAAGGGCUUUUGUAAAAGGCAAGUAUAUCCCUCUGUGGAGUUUCAGAAAGGAAAACUAAGGACUUAGAAUCACUGUCCGGGAAUUUAACGCAGAGGGGUCCACAGCACACCAGGCCCCUUUGGGAAUGUAGCAAAACCAGCCAAAACAGAGAAACUAUAAAAGCCAACCGAGAAACCCCCUCCGGAGCCGCGCCACUGCACAGUGUGGGCCGGCCAACACCCGCGGAGUCAGUCCCAGAGGGCGGUGCCCGGCAGCAGCCAGAGCAGGCGCGGCCAGGAGGAGAGCGCAGGGUGCUAAGGAGGAGCCCAGGGGUGCGUUUCAGGGGUUCAAAAGCAUGCUUUAUAUUUUGGAAAGUUUUCUAUCCAAUCUGUUUUAUUUUCUUAAACUAGGUAUUCAAACUUAUGCUUCCUAGAAAGUUAUCAUGUCGAAGAACUAAAUCACUGGUGACAUUACUUUAAACACCUAGAUUUUCAGCUAGAUUGCAGUUGGCACAUGUCUGAAACCCUGGUGCUAGGUGGUUAAGACAGGAGGGUCACCAGGAGUGUGAGGUCAGCCUUGGACAUAGAGUGAGUUCAAGCCAACCUGAACCGUAUAGCAAGAUCCUGUUGAGAGGCUCACAGCCUCCAGGUCUAAGAGGCCCUACCUACGCCCAGAGGACGCGGGCCUGGGGCAGCCUGGAGCUGUCCGAGAUAAGAGAAGCAAGAGUCAUGUAAUCCAAGCAGGAACUAGGGAUGAAAAUCUCAACACUGAAAAUGCCCAGCAAGAAAACAAAGAAAAAGAUGAAAAGGAGCUACAUGCUAAUAAAGGGGAGCCUCAGCCCUGCCUUGCGAAGCUGAUGGAUACGGGGUGCCUAAUGCAAAUCCAAGGACAUUCGAAGUCGGGCAGCCAUCCUGCACGAAAGAGGGAACCUGAUGCAUAGGCUUGGAGAGCCAUGGGCACGGAUGCGAGAAGAGCAUGUGGGAAGGUUUGGGAGGAGUGAGACGCCUCACGGAAAAGCUUUCGGGCAGCUAGUAGUGAUCGUCCUCGCCACGAGCAUCACAGCGCCUUCGGCCUUAUGCCCUGAGUUGGGUGUUUUCCCUGAAGUUAAAACACCUUCGGAAACACCCGCUUCCUAACCUUAUGUGUGUGAGGUACUAUGGUGAGCCUUUUGAUGUCACGGCUUUGCAUGUGCCUCCUAUGACAGCUUCUAACAGAGUUUAUUUUUGACCCAGACUGUAUCACUUUCAGUAGCAGACUAUGCCUAUUGCAUGGAAAGAUGCUCAUAACAUACUGUGAGGU